Molecule: long non-coding RNA, 214 nt
Filed under: Elaeis guineensis (African oil palm)
Lineage: Eukaryota; Viridiplantae; Streptophyta; Magnoliopsida; Arecales; Arecaceae
Description: long non-coding RNA (EGUI_LNC035952)
Source: RNAcentral
UAUCCCAUCAAACAUUCUCACCUUGAUGGUCUCUAUACCAGCCACUUUGUAAGGAUGAUUAUCUCCUAGUGCCACACUCCCUUCCUCAAUUUUGGUGUAGGUAGAAAACUAAGAUCAAUUUGGUGUAUAGUAAUGAGAAUAGGCUAAAUCCAAUGUCCAGAUGUCCGUGUUGUUCUUGUAUCCAUCCGAAACCAUCAAGAAGAUAUCUUCCACC